UUGGUUAAGCUAGUAAGAGCACACGGAGGAUGCCUAGGCGCCAGGAGCCGAUGAAGGACGUGGCGAACAACGAAAAGGCCUCGGGGAGCUGUAAGCAAGCUUUGAUCCGGGGGUGUCCGAAUGGGGAAACCCGGCUGUGGUAAUGCACAGUCACUUCUCUCUGAAUUCAUAGGAGAGCUAGAGGCAGACCAGGGGAACUGAAACAUCUAAGUACCCUGAGGAAGAGAAAACAAGAGUGAUUCCGUCAGUAGCGGCGAGCGAACGCGGAACAGCCUAAACCGAAGAGCUUGCUCUUCGGGGUUGUGGGACGUCUCACAUGGAGUUACAAAGGAACGGUUUAAGCGAAGAGGUCUGGAAAGGCCCGCUAGAAAAGGUAAAAGCCCUGUAGCUGAAAAGUCGUUCCCUCCGAGACGGAUCCCGAGUAGUGCGGGGCACGUGAAACCCCGUAUGAAUCCGGCAGGACCAUCUGCCAAGGCUAAAUACUCCCUGGCGACCGAUAGUGAAACAGUACCGUGAGGGAAAGGUGAAAAGCACCCCGGAAGGGGAGUGAAAGAGUACCUGAAACCGUGUGCUUACAAGAAGUCAGAGCCCAUUUUAGGGGUGAUGGCGUGCCUUUUGUAGAAUGAACCGGCGAGUUACGUUUAACGUGCAAGGUUAAGGCGAGGAGCCGGAGCCGCAGCGAAAGCGAGUCUGAAUAGGGCGACUUAGUACGUGGGCGUAGACCCGAAACCGUGUGAUCUACCCCUGUCCAGGGUGAAGGUGCGGUAACACGCACUGGAGGCCCGAACCCACGAACGUUGAAAAGUUCGGGGAUGAGGUGGGGGUAGCGGAGAAAUUCCAAUCGAACUCGGAGAUAGCUGGUUCUCCCCGAAAUAGCUUUAGGGCUAGCCUCGGUGAUUAAGAGUAAUGGAGGUAGAGCACUGAUUGGGUGCGGGGCCCGCAAGGGUUACCAAGCUCAGUCAAACUCCGAAUGCCAUCUACUUGUCGCCGGGAGUCAGACAGUGAGUGCUAAGAUCCAUUGUCAAAAGGGAAACAGCCCAGACCAUCAGCUAAGGUCCCCAAGUGUGUGUUAAGUGGGAAAGGAUGUGGAGUUGCACAGACAACCAGGAUGUUGGCUUAGAAGCAGCCACCAUUGAAAGAGUGCGUAAUAGCUCACUGGUCGAGUGACUCUGCGCCGAAAAUGUAACGGGGCUAAACACACCACCGAAGCUAUGGCUUGAUGCUUGCAUCAGGGGUAGGGGAGCGUUGUAUGCGGGUUGAAGGUUGACUGUAAGGACAGCUGGACUGCAUACAAGUGAGAAUGCCGGUAUGAGUAACGAAAAGAUCAGUGAGAAUCUGAUCCGCCGAAAGCCCAAGGUUUCCUGAGGAAGGCUCGUCCGCUCAGGGUAAGUCGGGACCUAAGGCGAGGCCGACAGGCGUAGUCGAAGGACAACAGGUUGAUAUUCCUGUACCACCAUAAUCCGUUAUGAGCAAUGGGGGGACGCAGGAGGGUAGUGACGCGGACUGAUGGAUGUCCGUCCAAGCAGCGAGGCUGGUGUAUAGGCAAAUCCGUACACCGUAAGGCUGGGCUGUGAUGGGGAGCGAAAAUUGUAGUAGCGAAGGUCAUGAUCUCACACUGCCAAGAAAAGCCUCUAGCCAGGAGAAGGUGCCCGUACCGCAAACCGACACAGGUAGGCGAGAAGAGAAUUCUAAGGCGCGCGGAAGAACUCUCGUUAAGGAACUCGGCAAAAUGACCCCGUAACUUCGGGAGAAGGGGUGCCUCGGUAGGGUGAAUAGCCCGAGGGGGCCGCAGUGAAAAGGCCCAAGCGACUGUUUAGCAAAAACACAGGUCUGUGCGAAGCCGCAAGGCGAAGUAUACGGGCUGACGCCUGCCCGGUGCUGGAAGGUUAAGGGGAGCGGUUAGGGGUAACCCGAAGCUGUGAACCGAAGCCCCAGUAAACGGCGGCCGUAACUAUAACGGUCCUAAGGUAGCGAAAUUCCUUGUCAGGUAAAUUCUGACCCGCACGAAUGGCGUAACGACUUGGGCGCUGUCUCAACGAGAGAUCCGGUGAAAUUUUAAUACCUGUGAAGAUGCAGGUUACCCGCGACAAGACGGAAAGACCCCAUGGAGCUUUACUGCAGCUUGAUAUUGAACUUGGGUACGAUCUGUACAGGAUAGGUGGGAGCCUUGGAAGCCGGAGCGCCAGCUUCGGUGGAGGCGCCGUUGGGAUACCACCCUGAUCGUAUCUAGGUUCUAACCUGGUACCCUAAACGGGUACGGGGACCGUGUCAGGCGGGCAGUUUGACUGGGGCGGUCGCCUCCUAAAGUGUAACGGAGGCGUCCCAAGGUUCCCUCAGAAUGGUUGGAAAUCAUUCGAAGAGUGCAAAGGCAGAAGGGAGCUUGACUGCGAGACCUACAAGUCGAGCAGGGACGAAAGUCGGGCUUAGUGAUCCGGUGGUACCGCAUGGAAGGGCCAUCGCUCAACGGAUAAAAGCUACCCUGGGGAUAACAGGCUUAUCUCCCCCAAGAGUCCACAUCGACGGGGAGGUUUGGCACCUCGAUGUCGGCUCAUCGCAUCCUGGGGCUGAAGUAGGUCCCAAGGGUUGGGCUGUUCGCCCAUUAAAGCGGUACGCGAGCUGGGUUCAGAACGUCGUGAGACAGUUCGGUCCCUAUCUGUCGUGGGCGUAGGAAAUUUGAGAGGAGCUGUCCUUAGUACGAGAGGACCGGGAUGGACGUACCGCUGGUGCACCAGUUGUUCCGCCAGGAGCAUGGCUGGGUAGCUACGUACGGACGGGAUAAGCGCUGAAAGCAUCUAAGCGUGAAGCCCCCCUCAAGAUGAGAUUUCCCAGUAUGUAAGACCCCUUGAAGACGACGAGGUAGAUAGGUUGGAGGUGGAAGCACGGCAACGUGUGGAGCUGACCAAUACUAAUCGGUCGAGGGCUUAUCCAAAUU
Molecule: ribosomal RNA, 2932 nt
Filed under: Paenibacillus durus
Lineage: Bacteria; Bacillati; Bacillota; Bacilli; Caryophanales; Paenibacillaceae
Description: bacterial LSU rRNA
Rfam family: Bacterial large subunit ribosomal RNA
Source: RNAcentral